AUUGAACGCUGGCGGCAUGCCUUACACAUGCAAGUCGAACGGUAACGGGCCUUCGGGUGCCGACGAGUGGCGAACGGGUGAGUAAUACAUCGGAACGUGCCCGAUCGUGGGGGAUAACGAGGCGAAAGCUUUGCUAAUACCGCAUACGAUCUACGGAUGAAAGCAGGGGACCGCAAGGCCUUGCGCGGGCGGAGCGGCCGAUGGCAGAUGAGGUAGUUGGUGGGAUAAAAGCUUACCAAGCCGACGAUCUGUAGCUGGUCUGAGAGGAUGAUCAGCCACACUGGGACUGAGACACGGCCCAGACUCCUACGGGAGGCAGCAGUGGGGAAUGUUGGACAAAGGGCGCAAGCCUGAUCCAGCCAUGCCGCGUGCAGGAUGAAGGCCUUCGGGUUGUAAACUGCUUUUGUACGGAACGAAAAGCCUUCUUUUAAUACAGGAGGGUCAUGACGGUACCGGAAGAAUAAGCACCGGCUAACUACGUG
RNAcentral lists this ribosomal RNA (482 nucleotides) under uncultured bacterium. RNAcentral's name for it is "partial 16S ribosomal RNA". It matches the Rfam family "Bacterial small subunit ribosomal RNA", at positions 30 to 507 of the family's 1533-position model. The record is from RNAcentral.